Molecule: ribosomal RNA, 628 nt
Filed under: uncultured Nitrosomonas sp.
Lineage: Bacteria; Pseudomonadati; Pseudomonadota; Betaproteobacteria; Nitrosomonadales; Nitrosomonadaceae
Description: bacterial SSU rRNA
Rfam family: Bacterial small subunit ribosomal RNA
Source: RNAcentral
AUUGAACGCUGGCGGCAUGCUUUACACAUGCAAGUCGAACGGCAGCACGGGUGCUUGCACCUGGUGGCGAGUGGCGGACGGGUGAGUAAUGCAUCGGAACGUGUCCUUAAGUGGGGGAUAACGCAUCGAAAGAUGUGCUAAUACCGCAUAAACUCUAAGGAGAAAAGCAGGGGAUCGUAAGACCUUGUGCUUUUGGAGCGGCCGAUGCCUGAUUAGCUAGUUGGUAAGGUAAAGGCUUACCAAGGCUUCGAUCAGUAGUUGGUCUGAGAGGACGACCAGCCACACUGGGACUGAGACACGGCCCAGACUCCUACGGGAGGCAGCAGUGGGGAAUAUUGCACAAUGGGGGAAACCCUGAUGCAGCAACGCCGCGUGAGCGAAGAAGGCUUUCGAGUCGUAAAGCUCUGUCCUAAGGGAAGAAUAAUGACGGUACCUUAGGAGGAAGCCCCGGCUAACUACGUGCCAGCAGCCGCGGUAAUACGUAGGGGGCAAGCGUUAUCCGGAAUCACUGGGCGUAAAGGGUGCGUAGGCGGCUAAUCAAGCCAGGGGUGAAAGGCUACGGCUUAACCGUAGUAAGCCUUUGGAACUGAAUAGCUUGAGUGCAGGAGAGGAGAGUGGAAUUCCUAGU